CUCAAGUAAUGUCACAUGGCGAAUGAACCACCACAUGCCCAGCUCCAGCUCAAGACACAAGAAGCUCUGGCAGCUCAGAAGACGCAUUGCAACCUUUAGGACUCGUCUCAGUAAGGGUACCCUGGACUGACCUAUCCUUGACCGACCCGAUGGAAGUCCCACCAGGGCAAGGAGCCUGUCCUCCUCACCACUGCGUCCCGAGGACCACGGAUGGGGACUGGCAACACAUUGGGUUCAGUAUCUCGUAAAUAAUUUAUGUUAUUUCAGAUUGGACCUGGUUCCAAAUCUUGAUACGACCCAAGGGCAGGAAUUACAGCUCUCCACCCCUUCACAGCAGCAGAGCCCGAUGUCAACACGUAAUUGCUUGUCUUUUCCCCAUUAUUUCC
This 386-nucleotide long non-coding RNA is filed under the name Homo sapiens (human). RNAcentral describes it as "HSALNT0131191". Lineage: Eukaryota; Metazoa; Chordata; Mammalia; Primates; Hominidae. The record is from RNAcentral.